GUUUUAAAUAUCAACUAUUCAUUCUAAUGUCUGUUCAGGCCCUAAUCUCUCAAGUACCUUCUUUUGAUAAUGAGACGCUAAAACAAAAAAACACAUGAGCAGCUCUAGCUAAAUGAAGCCUCAAUUCCAUCCAUCAACCCCCUUUAUGGGUUCAGAGUCAUUUGAAGGGGCCAUCAGUAGAGGUUGCUGAGAUCGUGUAUGUAAAAUGACUCUCUUCUCUGCCUUGACUCCAAAACCAUGAGGACAAGUGAAGCUACAGAAGCCAGGACUGCAGAACAGAGUUGGAUUUUUCUUUGCAUGUGUUUCUUCCUCAGAUCUCCAUGGAGGGGUCAAGCCUUUGAGGACACAAUGCCCAGACUCAGCAUGAGAGUGCUUGUCAGUGAACCAUGCCCACUGGUAGCCCAAUCUGUAUUUAAAUUGCAUGCAAAUUUUAUGAGUUUUGUAUAAGCAAUUGUCAUUACAUAGUCCCUUGUCUUUUAUAUAGAUCCCUAUUGGGUGCUGGAAAAGAUAGCAGAGGAAAAGCCAGCAUUAAGAAGCACAGCCAGCACACGGUCAAGCCAUCAUUCAUGACCACUGCUGGGUCUACCUAUUUCACAAACAGGAUUUCUGCUGACACCGGAAAAAUCCAUAGCAUGCUCACGGAUCUUCCUGUAGUCUCUCAAUCAUUUCUCAGAAUUAAUGGGGAAAAACCUUUUGAAUGUUUGCUAUAUAUAGGAACCAUGUGGAAAAAUUGGAAAUCAUCUAGAGAUAUUUAAAAGGAGACUCAGAUUUACAUACAAUGAUAUGUUUGAAGUUUGCUUUGAAAUACUAUAUUCUCCCUUACCCUCUUCCCCCACCAGAAAACCUGUGGA
RNAcentral lists this long non-coding RNA (851 nucleotides) under Homo sapiens (human). Its description in RNAcentral is "HSALNT0352975". Lineage: Eukaryota; Metazoa; Chordata; Mammalia; Primates; Hominidae. The record is from RNAcentral.